This is a non-coding RNA of Penaeus vannamei (Pacific white shrimp), 906 nucleotides long. Lineage: Eukaryota; Metazoa; Arthropoda; Malacostraca; Decapoda; Penaeidae. The record is from RefSeq and is a predicted model, not a curated record.
GAAGAGUUUCCAUUAUAACGCUCAAGGUAUUGGCCCGCGUUUCUACAUUUUCCUGUUUUUGAACGAAUAUCGGUCUUUUUUCGUUUAUCUGUGCAACGGUGACCGCUCGCGGAUGCCAUUACGGAUCUGCGAGAGCCUGUGAGUGGAAUAACAAGCAAGAAAAUCGCCGAGAAGCUUAAAAUCCCGCCGGGAGAGCAAGCGCAUAGCAACACAAAACCCGAAGGGUUGAAGAAGGAGUUGAGGAAGAGAAAUACAUCAAUUUCCUUUGGUUCCUCUGUUUUCCGGAAGUCACUGUUCUCGUUCUGUGUUCUCUCGUCUCUCUGCUGUUCUUGAUCGCUUCAACCAAGGUAUUAUGAGCAUCGUGCAACGGGAGUACUUCGUUGUAGAUGAAGUGUACAAGUCUCUGAGCCAAGCAAGAGCGAGAGGUUCGUGUGUGAAGUUAAAUUGCACCAGAAGAAACAAGUCAAGUAGCAUAUCGAGUAAAAUACAUAAGUUAAGUAACAUAAGUUAAAUUUCAUCAUCAUCAACUUCCUUGCCAGAUCAUCCUUGUGACUUUCACUCGUAAAACAAAACUAUUAAUUCAAGAGAUAAAGAAAAAAACGGAAAAAAGACAAUCAAGAAUACUCGGAAGAAAUUGGUGAAAAUCGGGAAAAGCAUAAUAGUGAAAAGCCAAUAAGGAUAAACAAAGAUAUUGGAAGAUAUCCCAAUUUUCAUCGGAAACUACUCGCGAAUUCGAUUUUUCUCAACUACUCAAGUCGCCAUACAAAAAAGCGAAGGUUUAUUUUCUUCGUCUCUUGAUCCUUAAAAUAACGAAGACAUCAUGAAGCUACUUCCAGAAUCUUCGGGUUUUGAGGCCAUAAACAGCGCCUUGAGUUUUGACACCGUUGACGGCUGCAUCAUGGGCAG